This 2042-nucleotide long non-coding RNA is filed under the name Nicotiana benthamiana. Its description in RNAcentral is "long non-coding RNA (NBEN_LNC006490)". Lineage: Eukaryota; Viridiplantae; Streptophyta; Magnoliopsida; Solanales; Solanaceae. The record is from RNAcentral.
GUUUUAAUUCAUUUCUUUUGUCUUGUCUCAUUUGGAAAUUGUUUCUUUUGCUUACCUAUCUCUUGGAUUGUGAAUACUCUGUUUAGUUUAUUACUUGGUCAAUUUGCCAUACUUCAUUCGUUUUGGAUAUUUGACUUGACUGAUUCUAGUAUAUGGAAAAGGGGGAAAAUAUGGUUUGUUGUAAUUUCAUCUUGUCUCGCAUGUUUUAGGAUCGGGCUUGGUCAAAUGCAUGAAAAAUGAGAAAUUAAAAAAGGAAUAAGCAUGGAAUUAAUUCUUGUAGUUUUAUUUGUUUCGCUCUUCUUACUUGCCCGUUAGUCGUAUGUUUAGGCCGACAACACUUGAUUAGGCAAGUCUUAGGAGUUUGUUUGGAUUUUGAGGCGAGAGGUCGUUCCUUAGUUAAAUUUAUCUGGGGCAUGCCCGAAGGAUUUGUAUAUAUUUUAUUCCGGGGAAUGCCCCGAAGUACUUGUAUUUGGAGGCCUAAAAUGAAACCCGUAGUAUUUUUAGUUUUAUUUUCCUUUUAUUAGGUGGGAACGACCUCGAGCCUCUUGUGUGUUUAGUUUCCCUUUUCUGUGUUUUCUACCUCAAUUGAAUAUUUUUAAAGCCAACGUCAUCAAGUACGCAACCGUACUAGUUACGGGAUUUGGGGAGUGCUUAACACCUACUCCCGAGUCAAAUGAACCCCUUACCUGAAUCUCUGGUGCGUACUUAGUUUUGAGUUCAAGUGUUUUAAAAGGAAAAAUAUUUUCUAAAAACUGGUGGCCUGGCACACCGAAGUCAAAUGCCAGGUGGCGACUCUGAGAUUUCCUUUUGAACAAAUUUUGUCACUUUGGAAUUUGAAAACCCUUUUCAAGCUUUAUUUAAAUUUUUUUUAUUAAUUUAAGAGGGCUAAGUAGAGUUUGAUUUUUUUUAAAAAGGGUGUGUGACACAGCAAAUAUUAUUGCUGAACCAGAAUCUUCUGACCGUAGCCAUUAUAACAUUGCUAGUUCUUCUCAUUCUGGUGUCACUAGUUCUCCUGAGCAAAGUUCUGUGAUUCCUGGUUUGAGUAUGCAGCAGUACAAUCAGUUAAUGACUUUACUGCAACAGCCCCACUUGAAAGAUUCUAAUACUUAGUCUAAUCUGAUGCCUUCUGCCAAUUUUGCCGGUACUCUACUAACUGAUGAUCUGCUGAAUGGUUCUAGUUCUAGUUCUUGCAUGCUUUCUCAAUCAAUAAAUUUAACCUGGAUAGUUGAUUCUAGUGCUAUCGACCAUAUAACAUAUAAUAAAUAUUUUCUAUCAAAUCUUACUCCUUUACAUGUACCUUAUCUUGUGUCACUUCCUAAUGAUUAUAAAAUACAAGUGACCUGCACUGGUUCUUUUAUUUUAAACCCUUACUUUCAUCGUUCACAAUGUUCUCUAAAUUCACUCUUUUUAAUAUAAUCUGAUCUCUGUGCAUAGGAUUAUAUAACAAUUCAAAUAUUUUGUUCUGUUCGCUUAUGAAUCUUUUUUACUUAUACCACAUGGCCCUUUUUUGAAGAAACCUCUUGAUCUUGAUAAGUUGGAUAGUGGCGUGUACAAGUUUGUGUGGAAAAGGCCUUCCACUCAUUCUCAGCUUUUGACCAAUUUAGAUUCUACAAAUAAUGUUGUCUCAUCUUGUGUUCAUCCUGCUUCUCCCAUGAUUAAUGUUGUCUCAUUUUGUUCCUUCUUCUACUUGUAAUUCUGGUUCUAUUCCGCCUAAUGUGUGUGAUAUUCUUUUUAAUUGUGAUACUACUAGCAUGAAUAAAAUGGAUGUUGUUUGGCAUCAAAGGCUUGCACAUGUUCCAUUUGUUAGAAUGAAACUCAUUUCUGGUUUGUCUGAUUCUAUGUCAUCCAAACUAUCUUUCAUUUGUAUUGUUUGUCCUAUGUCCAGGCAAAUUAGAUUGUCUUUUCCAGAUAGUACUAUUAGUACCAACUCACCUUUUCAACUCAUUCACGUUGAUACUUGGGAUCCUUACCAUACUACAACUUAUUCCGGAACUAGAUGCUUCCUUACUAUUGUCGAUAAUUAUACAAGAGCCACCUAGACA